GCCCUAGUAACGGCGAGUGAAGCGGCAACAGCUCAAAUUUGAAAUCUGGCUCUCGGGCCCGAGUUGUAAUUUGUAGAGGAUACUUUUGAUGCGGUGCCUUCCGAGUUCCCUGGAACGGGACGCCAUAGAGGGUGAGAGCCCCGUCUGGUUGGAUGCCAAAUCUCUGUAAAGUUCCUUCGACGAGUCGAGUAGUUUGGGAAUGCUGCUCUAAAUGGGAGGUAUAUGUCUUCUAAAGCUAAAUACCGGCCAGAGACCGAUAGCGCACAAGUAGAGUGAUCGAAAGAUGAAAAGCACUUUGAAAAGAGAGUUAAAAAGUACGUGAAAUUGUUGAAAGGGAAGCGUUUAUGACCAGACUUGGGCUUGGUUAAUCAUCUGGGGUUCUCCCCAGUGCACUUUUCCAGUCCAGGCCAGCAUCAGUUUUCCCCGGGGGAUAAAGACUUCGGGAAUGUGGCUCUCUUCGGGGAGUGUUAUAGCCCGUUGUGUAAUACCCUGGGGGGGACUGAGGUUCGCGCAUCUGCAAGGAUGCUGGCGUAAUGGUCAUCAACGACCCGUCUUGAAACACGGACCAAGGAGUCGUCUUCGUAUGCGAGUGUUCGGGUGUCAAACCCCUACGCGUAAUGAAAGUGAACGCAGGUGAGAGCUUCGGCGCAUCAUCGACCGAUCCUGAUGUUCUCGGAUGGAUUUGAGUAAGAGCAUACGGGGCCGGACCCGAAAGAAGGUGAACUAUGCCUGUAUAGGGUGAAGCCAGAGGAAACUCUGGUGGAGGCUCGCAGCGGUUCUGACGUGCAAAUCGAUCGUCAAAUAUGGGCAUGGGGGCGAAAG
Molecule: ribosomal RNA, 822 nt
Filed under: Fusarium proliferatum
Lineage: Eukaryota; Fungi; Ascomycota; Sordariomycetes; Hypocreales; Nectriaceae
Description: partial large subunit ribosomal RNA
Rfam family: Eukaryotic large subunit ribosomal RNA
Source: RNAcentral